GUUAUAUGGUCAAGUGAAGAAGCGCAUACGGUGGAUGCCUUGGCAGUCAGAGGCGAUGAAAGACGUGGUAGCCUGCGAAAAGCUUCGGGGAGUCGGCAAACAGACUUUGAUCCGGAGAUGUCUGAAUGGGGGAACCCAGCCAUCAUAAGAUGGUUAUCUUGUACUGAAUACAUAGGUGCAAGAGGCGAACCAGGGGAACUGAAACAUCUAAGUACCCUGAGGAAAAGAAAUCAACCGAGAUUCCCUUAGUAGUGGCGAGCGAACGGGGACUAGCCCUUAAGUGGCUUUGAGAUUAGCGGAACGCUCUGGAAAGUGCGGCCAUAGUGGGUGAUAGCCCUGUACGCGAAAAUCUCUUAGUCAUGAAAUCGAGUAGGACGGAGCACGAGAAACUUUGUCUGAAUAUGGGGGGACCAUCCUCCAAGGCUAAAUACUACUGACUGACCGAUAGUGAACUAGUACCGUGAGGGAAAGGCGAAAAGAACCCCGGAGAGGGGAGUGAAAUAGAUCCUGAAACCGUAUGCGUACAAGCAGUGGGAGCAGACUUUGUUCUGUGACUGCGUACCUUUUGUAUAAUGGGUCAGCGACUUAUAUUCAGUGGCGAGCUUAACCGAAUAGGGGAGGCGUAGCGAAAGCGAGUCUUAAUAGGGCGUUUAGUCGCUGGGUAUAGACCCGAAACCGGGCGAUCUAUCCAUGGGCAGGUUGAAGGUUAGGUAACACUGACUGGAGGACCGAACCGACUACCGUUGAAAAGUUAGCGGAUGACCUGUGGAUCGGAGUGAAAGGCUAAUCAAGCUCGGAGAUAGCUGGUUCUCCUCGAAAGCUAUUUAGGUAGCGCCUCAUGUAUCACUGUAGGGGGUAGAGCACUGUUUCGGCUAGGGGGUCAUCCCGACUUACCAAACCGAUGCAAACUCCGAAUACCUACAAGUGCCGAGCAUGGGAGACACACGGCGGGUGCUAACGUCCGUCGUGAAAAGGGAAACAACCCAGACCGUCAGCUAAGGUCCCAAAGUUAUGGUUAAGUGGGAAACGAUGUGGGAAGGCUUAGACAGCUAGGAGGUUGGCUUAGAAGCAGCCACCCUUUAAAGAAAGCGUAAUAGCUCACUAGUCGAGUCGGCCUGCGCGGAAGAUGUAACGGGGCUCAAACCAUACACCGAAGCUACGGGUAUCACUUAGGUGAUGCGGUAGAGGAGCGUUCUGUAAGCCUGUGAAGGUGAGUUGAGAAGCUUGCUGGAGGUAUCAGAAGUGCGAAUGCUGACAUGAGUAACGACAAUGGGUGUGAAAAACACCCACGCCGAAAGACCAAGGUUUCCUGCGCAACGUUAAUCGACGCAGGGUUAGUCGGUCCCUAAGGCGAGGCUGAAAAGCGUAGUCGAUGGAAAACAGGUUAAUAUUCCUGUACUUCUGGUUAUUGCGAUGGAGGGACGGAGAAGGCUAGGCCAGCUUGGCGUUGGUUGUCCAAGUUUAAGGUGGUAGGCUGAGAUCUUAGGUAAAUCCGGGAUCUUAAGGCCGAGAGCUGAUGACGAGUUACCCUUUGGGUGACGAAGUGGUUGAUGCCAUGCUUCCAAGAAAAGCUUCUAAGCUUCAGAUAACCAGGAACCGUACCCCAAACCGACACAGGUGGUUGGGUAGAGAAUACCAAGGCGCUUGAGAGAACUCGGGUGAAGGAACUAGGCAAAAUGGCACCGUAACUUCGGGAGAAGGUGCGCCGGUGAGGGUGAAGCACUUGCUGCGUAAGCCCACGCCGGUCGAAGAUACCAGGCCGCUGCGACUGUUUAUUAAAAACACAGCACUCUGCAAACACGAAAGUGGACGUAUAGGGUGUGACGCCUGCCCGGUGCCGGAAGGUUAAUUGAUGGGGUUAGCUAACGCGAAGCUCUUGAUCGAAGCCCCGGUAAACGGCGGCCGUAACUAUAACGGUCCUAAGGUAGCGAAAUUCCUUGUCGGGUAAGUUCCGACCUGCACGAAUGGCGUAACGAUGGCGGCGCUGUCUCCACCCGAGACUCAGUGAAAUUGAAAUCGCUGUGAAGAUGCAGUGUAUCCGCGGCUAGACGGAAAGACCCCGUGAACCUUUACUAUAGCUUUGCACUGGACUUUGAAUUUGCUUGUGUAGGAUAGGUGGGAGGCUUUGAAGCGUGGACGCCAGUUCGCGUGGAGCCAUCCUUGAAAUACCACCCUGGCAACUUUGAGGUUCUAACUCAGGUCCGUUAUCCGGAUCGAGGACAGUGUAUGGUGGGUAGUUUGACUGGGGCGGUCUCCUCCUAAAGAGUAACGGAGGAGUACGAAGGUGCGCUCAGACCGGUCGGAAAUCGGUCGUAGAGUAUAAAGGCAAAAGCGCGCUUGACUGCGAGACAGACACGUCGAGCAGGUACGAAAGUAGGUCUUAGUGAUCCGGUGGUUCUGUAUGGAAGGGCCAUCGCUCAACGGAUAAAAGGUACUCCGGGGAUAACAGGCUGAUACCGCCCAAGAGUUCAUAUCGACGGCGGUGUUUGGCACCUCGAUGUCGGCUCAUCACAUCCUGGGGCUGAAGCCGGUCCCAAGGGUAUGGCUGUUCGCCAUUUAAAGUGGUACGCGAGCUGGGUUUAGAACGUCGUGAGACAGUUCGGUCCCUAUCUGCCGUGGACGUUUGAGAUUUGAGAGGGGCUGCUCCUAGUACGAGAGGACCGGAGUGGACGAACCUCUGGUGUUCCGGUUGUCACGCCAGUGGCAUUGCCGGGUAGCUAUGUUCGGAAAAGAUAACCGCUGAAAGCAUCUAAGCGGGAAACUUGCCUCAAGAUGAGAUCUCACUGGAACCUUGAGUUCCCUGAAGGGCCGUCGAAGACUACGACGUUGAUAGGUUGGGUGUGUAAGCGCUGUGAGGCGUUGAGCUAACCAAUACUAAUUGCCCGUGAGGCUUGACCAUAUAACACCCAAGCAAUU
RNAcentral lists this ribosomal RNA (2916 nucleotides) under Pseudomonas putida. Its description in RNAcentral is "bacterial LSU rRNA". It matches the Rfam family "Bacterial large subunit ribosomal RNA". Lineage: Bacteria; Pseudomonadati; Pseudomonadota; Gammaproteobacteria; Pseudomonadales; Pseudomonadaceae. The record is from RNAcentral.